Molecule: long non-coding RNA, 702 nt
Organism: Lepidothrix coronata (blue-crowned manakin)
Lineage: Eukaryota; Metazoa; Chordata; Aves; Passeriformes; Pipridae
Exons: 2
Source: RefSeq, a predicted model, not a curated record
AUGGCAACCAUCACCAAACGCUUUGCUACAGCCCAUUGCCAUGGGCAAUGCCACUGAGAUUCAUUGCUAAGGUCAGUUACCAUGGCAACCAUCCUAAAUUCUCAUUGCUAAGGUCAGUUACCAUGGCAACCAUCCUAAAUUCCCAUUGCUACGGUCAGUUACUUCAAUGUCCUGCUUACAGAGAAGGGGGUGGAGUUUAGUGCAGUGUGGGGAUGACCAGCUCCUGCGGGGAAGCUGCCAGCAGAGACAGAGUGGUGACAAGGUGAUCCCCCCUCAGGCUGAGCUUCUCAAGCAAGAGAAAAGCAGGCCUGCACAGGACUGAGCCUCAAGGAGCGGCUGCGUGGCACUACCAGGACGGCCCAGCUCUUGGGGUUUGGUUUGUCCUUGUUUUCAGGCUGAGGGGGUGGGAAAUGUUAGCCUUGGCAUAUUGCUGUGUUAGCUCCCCGAGCACAUUGCCUUCAUUUCCCAAAUACCACUUGGCACAGCAUGUGGGAGCUCCCCCACCACAUUGCCUUUGUCUGGGGACACUAUGCAGACACAUCCCACGAGGAGCACCUGCAAUCUUGUUUGUGUGCCCAGUGGUGAAUACCUUUUGGGGGUGAAACACUUUCUUUUUUUGUAUACUUUUGCUCUUAAUAUUGCUGUUGUUACUGUGCGUGUCUUAUUCCAUUGCUGUGUGCUUUCAGAAAAUUGUUAUCUGAA